UACGUAGGGUGCAAGCGUUGUCCGGAUUUAUUGGGCGUAAAGAGCUCGUAGGCGGUUUGUCGCGUCUGCUGUGAAAACCCGAGGCUCAACCUCGGGCCUGCAGUGGGUACGGGCAGACUAGAGUGCGGUAGGGGAGAUUGGAAUUCCUGGUGUAGCGGUGAAAUGCGCAGAUAUCAGGAGGAACACCGGUGGCGAAGGCGGGUCUCUGGGCCGUAACUGACGCUGAGGAGCGAAAGCGUGGGGAGCGAACAGG
RNAcentral lists this ribosomal RNA (253 nucleotides) under uncultured bacterium. RNAcentral's name for it is "partial 16S ribosomal RNA". It matches the Rfam family "Bacterial small subunit ribosomal RNA", at positions 524 to 776 of the family's 1533-position model. The record is from RNAcentral.